RNAcentral lists this ribosomal RNA (402 nucleotides) under uncultured bacterium. RNAcentral describes it as "partial 16S ribosomal RNA". It matches the Rfam family "Bacterial small subunit ribosomal RNA", at positions 355 to 774 of the family's 1533-position model. The record is from RNAcentral.
UGGGGAAUAUUGGACAAUGGGCGAAAGCCUGAUCCAGCCAUGCCGCAUGAGUGAAGAAGGCCUUUGGGUUGUAAAGCUCUUUUAGUGAGGAAGAUAAUGACGGUACUCACAGAAGAAGUCCUGGCUAACUCCGUGCCAGCAGCCGCGGUAAUACGGAGAGGGCUAGCGUUAUUCGGAAUUAUUGGGCGUAAAGGGCGAGUAGGCUGGUUAAUAAGUUAAAAGUGAAAUCCCGAGGCUUAACCUUGGAAUUGCUUUUAAAACUAUUAAUCUAGAGAUUGAAAGAGGAUAGAGGAAUUCCUGAUGUAGAGGUAAAAUUCGUAAAUAUUAGGAGGAACACCAGUGGCGAAGGCGUCUAUCUGGUUCAAAUCUGACGCUGAAGCGCGAAGGCGUGGGGAGCAAACA